This 508-nucleotide ribosomal RNA is filed under the name uncultured bacterium. RNAcentral describes it as "bacterial SSU rRNA". It matches the Rfam family "Bacterial small subunit ribosomal RNA", at positions 8 to 507 of the family's 1533-position model. The record is from RNAcentral.
AGAGUUUGAUCCUGGCUCAGAGUGAACGCUGGCGGCAGGCCUAAUACAUGCAAGUCGAACGGCAGCACAGCAGAGCUUGCUCUGUGGGUGGCGAGUGGCGGACGGGUGAGGAAUACGUGGGAAUCUGCCCAGUCGUGGGGAUAACGUAGGGAAACUUACGCUAAUACCGCAUGCGCCCUUCGGGGAAAGCCGGGGACCUUCGGGCCUGGCGCGAUUGGAUGAGCCCACGUCGGAUUAGCUAGUUGGCGGGGUAAAGGCCCACCAAGGCGACGAUCCGUAGCUGGUCUGAGAGGAUGAUCAGCCACACUGGAACUGAGACACGGUCCAGACUCCUACGGGAGGCAGCAGUAGGGAAUAUUGGACAAUGGGCGCAAGCCUGAUCCAGCCAUGCCGCGUGAGUGAAGAAGGCCCUCGGGUUGUAAAGCUCUUUUGUCCGGAAAGAAAAGCGCCGGGUUAAUACCCUGGUGUCCUGACGGUACCGGAAGAAUAAGCACCGGCUAACUUCGUG